This 800-nucleotide ribosomal RNA is filed under the name uncultured bacterium. RNAcentral describes it as "bacterial SSU rRNA". It matches the Rfam family "Bacterial small subunit ribosomal RNA", at positions 8 to 786 of the family's 1533-position model. The record is from RNAcentral.
AGAGUUUGAUCCUGGCUCAGAACGAACGCUGGCGGCGUGCUUAACACAUGCAAGUCGAACGUGAUCCGGAGCUUGCUCCGGUGAAAGUGGCGCACGGGUGAGUAACGCGUGGAUAACCUGCCCUGGUAUCCGGAAUAACAUCUCGAAAGGGGUGCUAAUACCGGAUAAGCCUACGGAGCCUUCGGUCUCUGCAGGAAAAGGUGGCCUCUAUUUAUAAGCUACCGUAUCAGGAUGGGUCCGCGUACCAUUAGCUAGUUGGUGGGGUAAUGGCCUACCAAGGCGACGAUGGUUAGCUGGUCUGAGAGGAUGAUCAGCCACACUGGAACUGAGACACGGUCCAGACUCCUACGGGAGGCAGCAGUGGGGAAUUUUGCGCAAUGGGGGAAACCCUGACGCAGCAACGCCGCGUGAGUGAUGAAGGCUUUCGGGUCGUAAAGCUCUGUCAGUAGGGAAGAAAUGAAAACGGUUAAUACCCGUUUUUCUUGACGGUACCUACAAAGGAAGCACCGGCUAACUCCGUGCCAGCAGCCGCGGUAAUACGGAGGGUGCAAGCGUUGUUCGGAUUUAUUGGGCGUAAAGCGCGUGUAGGCGGUUUCUUAAGUCUGAUGUGAAAGCCCUGGGCUCAACCCAGGAAGUGCAUUGGAUACUGGGAAACUUGAAUACGGGAGAGGGUAGUGGAAUUCCUAGUGUAGGAGUGAAAUCCGUAGAUAUUAGGAAGAACACCGGUGGCGAAGGCGACUUUCUGGACUGUAACUGACGCUGAGGCUCGAAAGCGUGGGGAGCGAACAGGAUUAGAUACC